This 468-nucleotide ribosomal RNA is filed under the name uncultured bacterium. RNAcentral describes it as "partial 16S ribosomal RNA". It matches the Rfam family "Bacterial small subunit ribosomal RNA", at positions 28 to 507 of the family's 1533-position model. The record is from RNAcentral.
GACGAACGCUGGCGGCGGGCUUAACACAUGCAAGUCGAACGGAAAGGCCCUGCUUUUGUGGGGUGCUCGAGUGGCGAACGGGUGAGUAACACGUGAGUAACCUGCCCUUGACUUUGGGAGAACUUCAGGAAACUGGGGCUAAUACCGGAUAGGAGCUCCUGCUGCAUGGUGGGGGUUGGAAAGUUUCGGCGGUUGGGGAUGGACUCGCGGCUUAUCAGCUUGUUGGUGGGGUAGUGGCUUACCAAGGCUUUGACGGGUAGCCGGCCUGAGAGGGUGAACGGCCACAUUGGGACUGAGAUACGGCCCAGACUCCUACGGGAGGCAGCAGUGGGGAAUAUUGCACAAUGGGCGGAAGCCUGAUGCAGCAACGCCGCGUGCGGGAUGACGGCCUUCGGGUUGUAAACCGCUUUCGCCUGUGACGAAGCGUGAGUGACGGUAAUGGGUAAAGAAGCACCGGCUAACUACGUG